AUUGAACGCUGGCGGCAUGCUUUACACAUGCAAGUCGAACGGUAACAGGCCUUCGGGUGCUGACGAGUGGCGAACGGGCGAGUAAUGCAUCGGAACGUGCCCAGAGGUGGGGGAUAACGCAGCGAAAGCUGUGCUAAUACCGCAUGUGAUCUGAGGAUGAAAGCGGGGGACCAGGCAGCAAUGUUUGGCCUCGCGCCUUUGGAGCGGCCGAUGUCAGAUUAGGUAGUUGGUGGGGUAAAGGCCUACCAAGCCGACGAUCUGUAGCUGGUCUGAGAGGACGACCAGCCACACUGGGACUGAGACACGGCCCAGACUCCUACGGGAGGCAGCAGUGGGGAAUUUUGGACAAUGGGCGCAAGCCUGAUCCAGCAAUGCCGCGUGCGGGAAGAAGGCCUUCGGGUUGUAAACCGCUUUUGUACGGAACGAAAAGGCUCUGGCUAAUACCUGGGGCUGAUGACGGUACCGUAAGAAUAAGCACCGGCUAACUACGUG
Molecule: ribosomal RNA, 492 nt
Filed under: uncultured bacterium
Lineage: Bacteria
Description: partial 16S ribosomal RNA
Rfam family: Bacterial small subunit ribosomal RNA
Source: RNAcentral